AAACGGUCAGGGUUCCCGAUCAAGGUCGGGAUGAAAAGGGAAUCGUGUGAAAAUCACGAGCUGACGCGCAACUGUAAGUAACACAAUGGUUUUUGCCUCACAAUGUCCAUUGUCCGCCAGCUGGCGGAUGAGAAGGACGGCAGAAAUGUUACAAGCCAGGAGACCUGCCAUUUCCGA
This 177-nucleotide non-coding RNA is filed under the name marine eukaryotic metagenome. The record is from RNAcentral.